Non-coding RNA from Acanthosepion pharaonis, 102 nucleotides. The record is from the annotation of a GenBank genome assembly. Lineage: Eukaryota; Metazoa; Mollusca; Cephalopoda; Sepiida; Sepiidae.
AUCACGUUAAAACACCGGUUCCUGUAAGAUCAGCGGAGUUAAGCAACGUCGCGCCUGGUCAGUACCUACAUGGGUAAACGCUUGGGAAUACCAAGUCUUGUA